UCCCCCACAACACUUGUCAGCUCUACAUCAGCUGAUUGAGAGUAAACACAUCUUGCCAAGGUUCACACCCUGUGCUCGUUGCAAUAUCAUGGCUAGAUGUUGUGGGUGUGUGCAUGUGAAGGGCAUCUGCAUGAGGUAAACCAUGGUGCACCUGAACCUUUCACUUCCAAAGUGCAAGUUGAGAUGUCUCGUGAAGAGAAGGAAAAGCUCCUAACGGAGAAGAUGGAGAAUAUAAGAAGGAAAAAUGAAGAACUUCGUAAGCGGCAUGAGGAAAUUGAAGCCGAUAAGAAGAAUGCUGAUAAAUUUAGCUCAACAGUAACAAUGGACAAAGUGAAACCAUAUGUCAUGAAAGCGCCCCGAGCAAGGCCUGAUAAAUCUGAAAGACCUCGAGAACCCCAGGAACAUCCCUCUAUUCCCCGUCCAUCUGAUAUCAUGCCAACUAGACAAAGGCUCUCAGAGAAUGAUGGCCCGCCACCAGACCCGUCUUAUCGCUUUUUAUCUGAUCCUGAUAGAGAUGGAAGUGACAAAGAAAGAAAGCGAGAUGGCAAAGGUAAAAGAAAAGGGAAACAGGGCUCCAAGUGGGGAUCAGCUGAUGGACAGGAAGAAGAAGGUGAAAAAGUAGAGGGAGAAGGCAACGUGGUUGCUGAUUUCAGUAAUCAAGGUGGACAAGGAAACAAAGUUAGAGGAAAAUCUGAAAAGGGGACUGGGAGAGGACGAGGAUCUCGAGGACGAGGCUUUGGAAGGUUGCCCCAUGAACAAGAAUGUGAACAAGAGGAGGAGUUGCCUAAGGGUGAUAAUUCUGAAAGCCAUGGUGGUGGAGGAGAAAGGAAUAAACCAAAGAGCAGUUUGAGCUUUGCCUCUCGAGACAUAAGAUAUUAUCCUGAUGAAAAUGAAGAUCACAGGCCUGGAAAGGAUGUAGUGCGAGGUGGUCGUGGAAGAGGACGACAGAACUACAGCCAGUGGGGCCACAAUAAUGACAACCGCAAAUCACAUAGACGUGAUAAUGAUUCACAUCCUGGCAGUGGAAGAGGAAGGAACAAUGACCAACAAAGAGAAUAUGAAAGAUGGAAGGCAGAGAGGGCAGCCAUAGAUGAAGCAAGAUUGACAAGAGGCAAAACAGAUGGUGGUUCCUGGCGCAGAGAGUGGGAUAAUGACAAAAUUAGUCAGGGAGAAUAUGAAGAUUUUGGCCCAGUUUAUGAUCCUAGAUAUCCCAGAAGUAAAAAUGAAAAUUUCAAGUUGGCCGACUUGAUUCAUCUUCCGAAUAAUGAGGGUUCUGCACAGCCUAGUCAGCCGCAGCGUAAAUCACAGAGAGAACGAAGAAAGGGAAAUAGUCAUGAAUCUCGAGAAAAGUUUGUGAAGGUAGAUACUCAUCUGGUUCAAAAGCAGCCUAAGCUUGGAAGUAAUGAUCCCAAAGAUGCUAAUUGGAGGAGUCCACCAGGCCCAUCCCAAGAAUGUGAUGAGAAGACUCCUUCAGAAGAUGAAGUUAUAGUUAUCAGUGAUGAAAGUAUAGUUACCAGUGAUGACAUUAUAGUAAUCAGUGAUGAAAUGAAAGAUACUACAGAAGAGAUUGCAGCUGAACAUGAAAACUCUACUGAAAGACAGAAAUCGGUUGAGAGUAUGGAAAGUGCUAAUGAAUGCCCAUGUGAAGAAGGCCCAAUUGAUACAUGUGAAGAAGGCCCUAUUGAUACAUGUGAAGAAGGCCCAAUUGAUACAUGUGAAGAAGGCCCAAUUGAUACAUGUGAAGAAGGCCCAAUUGAUACAUGUGAAGAAGGCCCAAUUGAUACAUGUGAAGAAGGACCAACUGAUAUGUCAUGUAAUAGUGAUCCCUCAGAAAUGAGUGACAAGACUGAAAUUCAACAAUCGAGUGAUGAUGGCCCAACUGCUAUAGAAAACAAAGUAAAUGAAGAACUGGUUCCUGUGUCACAAACUGAAACAAAUGAACUGGUUCCUGUGUCACAAACUAAAACAAAUGAACUGGUUCCUGUGUCGCAAACUGAAACAAAUGAAGAACCUAUCACCGACUCAAAUAUAGUUUGUGAUGAACCAGCUUCAACUGAAUGAAGCCCUUCUAGCCAUAAUAUGCCUUAUCAUGGAACACCAACCCCCACGCAACUCUUGGAAGAAUAGCCUUGAAGAAUAACUCUCUCUUAUCAAAGCUAGCUGCAGCUACUGUUGGAGAUAGGAGACAACCUGAUCAUAUCCAGAACAGAGAGGUUGCAAAUAGCCUUGUCAUCAUUGCAGACUAUGAAGAGCAAUCAUGUUCUUCAAAGGUGCUCAAAUUAGCUAAAUAUGUUGGCAGUCCGAAACAGGGAGACAGUACCUAUGGAGAACUUCAUCUUCAUUACAGUGUCUGCUCUCUAGGUAUCUCUGUUUUAAUGCCUGAAAUGCAAUAAGAAUUCGCUUAUAUUUUCACAAAUGGAUAGCUAUGAAUUUGACUCGGAGCAGAUCUUUGACAGUUAUCAUCAAGUGAUAUAAAUGACUGUCCAAAAUUUGUUGUUGUUUUAUUAGGUAUAUUUUGUACAACAUUUAAACUGUACUGUAAUCGUUUUGUGCUACACUUGAAAGCAGAUGAAUAUUUUUAAAGCUUUGCAUAGAAUUAUAAUAAAGUUUUAUACUUCAGCUUUAUCUGUACAGAAUUCUAAAUUUUUAGAUCUAUGGCAGUUGUCUUAAUUUACUGUAUAUGUUUAGCUGCACUAGUUUUUAGUUCACCCAAGUCUCAUACUUCCAAGUAUGAGUAACAUGGUUGAUUUUGUCGUCAUUUAUUUAUCGUUUAGCUUUUACAUCACAUUUAUAUUUAUUCAUUCCUGUAGUCGUUAUUUAUGUAUUUAUUUAUUUAUUCAUAAUGCUCAAUUGCAUAUUUUCCCUAUAGGUCUGUGUGAAUGUCCAUGAUCUCAAUUGUGGGUAUGCAAGGUGUACGCUGUUUACACUUGUGGAACCUCAUCAUAAUUAAGUAAGCAAGUGAUCAAUUGAAAUGGUGUGCCUUUGCAUGACAGUGAACACCCAGACUACCAAAUCACUCCAUAAAUGUGUAUAUAAAUGGGUGAAUGAGAUUGCAUGCUGUAUAAUACUGUACAAAAGUUAUGCUGUUAUACUUACAAAUAGAAUUUGAGGUUAUCCAA
This is an RNA transcript of Macrobrachium nipponense, 3119 nucleotides long. It is a transcript of the gene named coiled-coil domain-containing protein 9-like, with no coding region annotated. The record is from RefSeq and is a predicted model, not a curated record. The transcript has 12 exons. NCBI's taxonomy places the organism in Eukaryota, Metazoa, Arthropoda, Malacostraca, Decapoda, Palaemonidae.